GUCAUGGCUCAGGAUGAACGCUAGCUACAGGCUUAACACAUGCAAGUCGAGGGGCAUCAGUUUGGUUUGCUUGCAAACCAAAGCUGGCGACCGGCGCACGGGUGAGUAACACGUAUCCAACCUACCUCAUACUCGGGGAUAGCCUUUCGAAAGAAAGAUUAAUAUCCGAUAGCAUAUAUUUCCCGCAUGGGUUUUAUAUUAAAGAAAUUCGGUAUGAGAUGGGGAUGCGUUCCAUUAGUUUGUUGGGGGGG
Molecule: ribosomal RNA, 251 nt
Filed under: uncultured bacterium
Lineage: Bacteria
Description: partial 16S ribosomal RNA
Rfam family: Bacterial small subunit ribosomal RNA
Source: RNAcentral